AAAAUUGUAGUAUAAUUUUAUUAUAUCCCAUUGUCAAUGGAGAGAUUUAAGAUUUUA
This 57-nucleotide transfer RNA is filed under the name Contracaecum rudolphii B Bullini et al., 1986. Its description in RNAcentral is "tRNA-Asp". Lineage: Eukaryota; Metazoa; Nematoda; Chromadorea; Rhabditida; Anisakidae. The record is from RNAcentral.